This 406-nucleotide ribosomal RNA is filed under the name uncultured Erysipelothrix sp. RNAcentral's name for it is "bacterial SSU rRNA". It matches the Rfam family "Bacterial small subunit ribosomal RNA", at positions 971 to 1381 of the family's 1533-position model. Lineage: Bacteria; Bacillati; Bacillota; Erysipelotrichia; Erysipelotrichales; Erysipelotrichaceae. The record is from RNAcentral.
UUACCAGGCCUUGACAUACUCGGCAAAGCGUCUAGAGAUAGAGUGGAGGUUAUCCGGGAUACAGGUGGUGCAUGGUUGUCGUCAGCUCGUGUCGUGAGAUGUUGGGUUAAGUCCCGCAACGAGCGCAACCCUUGUCUUUAGUUACCAUCAUUCAGUUGGGGACUCUAGAGAGACUGCCGGUAGAUAACCGGAGGAAGUGGGGAUGACGUCAAAUCAUCAUGCCCCUUAUGGCCUGGGCUACAAACGUAAUACAAUGGCGUAUACAAAGGGAUGCGAAAGGGCGACCUGGAGCAAAACUCACAAAGUAACGUCUCAGUUCAGAUUGGAGUCUGCAACUCGACUCCAUGAAGGCGGAAUCGCUAGUAAUCGCGGAUCAGCAUGCCGCGGUGAAUACGUUCUCGGGUUU